Molecule: transfer RNA, 76 nt
Filed under: Bacteroidetes bacterium GWE2_32_14
Lineage: Bacteria; Pseudomonadati; Bacteroidota
Also listed under: 1 other name
Description: tRNA-Thr
Rfam family: tRNA
About the family: Transfer RNA (tRNA) molecules are approximately 80 nucleotides in length. Their secondary structure includes four short double-helical elements and three loops (D, anti-codon, and T loops).
Source: RNAcentral
GCCUUCUUAGCUCAGUUGGUAGAGCAGCUCAUUCGUAAUGAGCAGGUCGCGGGUUCGAAUCCCGUGGAAGGCUCUA